Molecule: ribosomal RNA, 343 nt
Filed under: uncultured bacterium
Lineage: Bacteria
Description: bacterial SSU rRNA
Rfam family: Bacterial small subunit ribosomal RNA
Source: RNAcentral
GACGAACGCUGGCGGCGUGCUUAACACAUGCAAGUCGAGCGGUAAGGCCCUUUCGGGGGUACACGAGCGGCGAACGGGUGAGUAACACGUGGGUGACCUGCCCUCAGCUCUGGGAUAAGCCUGGGAAACCGGGUCUAAUACUGGAUAUGACUCCAUGACGCAUGUUGUGGGGUGGAAAGCCUUGUGCGGCUGAGGAUGGGCCCGCGGCCUAUCAGCUUGUUGGUGGGGUGANGGCCUACCAAGGCGGACGACGGGUAGCCGGCCUGAGAGGGCGAUCGGCCACACUGGGACUGAGACACGGCCCAGACUCCUACGGGAGGCAGCAGUGGGGAAUAUUGGACAA